GCCAUCCUUCCAGCGAGGGUCCCCUACCCACUGGAUGCGCUCUUUGAAGGCCCCCACCUCGUCGAUGUAGGGCUGUCCUUUGGCAUAGUGGAAGAUCUGUGAGGAAGGAGGAAAGCGUGUGAGGGGACCCUGGAGAGAACAAAGCUGUCGAAGCAGGGCUCUAGCCUCAGGGCUGGUAGCGCCAGGUGAAAGAGAUGUCGUCUGAGACCCACUCACUGGACCAGAAGGAGCAGUGCAGGGUCACCCGGGAUCCCACAGCACCAUGGACCUCCCUGUCCGUGUAAACCACAAUAGCCCAGGCUGGGGACAGCACUGCAAGUACAGAGUGGAAAUCAGGCACACGUGUGGGCCGGGCUGAGCGAGGGCUUCAGAGGACGAGAGAUCAACAGCAGGCAAGGAUGAGUCACUGGUUGGAGCCCAUAGCAAAGACAACUGAUUCUGAGGCCUGAGUCUCUGGGCCAACCAAACUGGUAUCCAUCAUAAAACGUGUUGGAGCAGUCUUGAAGAUCUGAGGAACACCUCAGAGGAGAUUCGUGCAUUGAAAAACAGGUUAAAUUAACGAGCCUCAAAGAUCCUUUCCAAUCCUAAAGUCUACGAGUGUGCCUUCUUUGUCAAGCAUUAUAGAAAUUCAAAAUAGUUUUAUUCACUUGAUGCAAAAAGAAGUGAAUUUGUGUAAUUUAAAUCCUGGAAGGAAAGAUGGAGUGCUAAA
Molecule: non-coding RNA, 709 nt
Organism: Heterocephalus glaber (naked mole-rat)
Lineage: Eukaryota; Metazoa; Chordata; Mammalia; Rodentia; Bathyergidae
Source: RefSeq, a predicted model, not a curated record